RNAcentral lists this ribosomal RNA (769 nucleotides) under uncultured Actinomycetes bacterium. RNAcentral's name for it is "bacterial SSU rRNA". It matches the Rfam family "Bacterial small subunit ribosomal RNA", at positions 8 to 795 of the family's 1533-position model. Lineage: Bacteria; Bacillati; Actinomycetota; Actinomycetes. The record is from RNAcentral.
AGAGUUUGAUUAUGGCUCAGGAUGAACGCUGGCGGCGUGCUUAACACAUGCAAGUCGAACGAGGUCCAACCUUCGGGUGAAGACCGAGUGGCGAACGGGUGAGUAACACGUGGGGAACCUGCCCUUCUCUCUGGGAUAACCUCGGGAAACCGAAGCUAAUACCGGAUACUCCUUGCGGACCGCAUGGUCUGCUCGGGAAAGCUCCGGCGGAGAAGGAUGGCCCCGCGGCCCAUUAGCUUGUUGGUGGGGUAACGGCCCACCAAGGCGACGAUGGGUAGCCGAGCUGAGAGGCUGAUCGGCCACACUGGGACUGAGACACGGCCCAGACUCCUACGGGAGGCAGCAGUGGGGAAUCUUGCGCAAUGGGCGAAAGCCUGACGCAGCAACGCCGCGUGCGGGAUGAAGGCUCUCGGGUCGUAAACCGCUUUCAGCAGGGAUGAAAAUGACAGUACCUGCAGAAGAAGCCCCGGCUAAAUACGUGCCAGCAGCCGCGGUAAUACGUAUGGGGCAAGCGUUAUCCGGAUUCAUUGGGCGUAAAGCGCGCGUAGGCGGCUUGUUAAGUCAGGCGUGAAAUCCGGGGGCUCAACCCGCGGCUUGCGUCUGAAACUGGCAGGCUUGAGUCUGGUAGAGGAAAGUGGAAUUCCUGGUGUAGCGGUGAAAUGCGCAGAUAUCAGGAGGAACACCAGUGGCGAAGGCGGCUUUCUGGGCCACGACUGACGCUGAGGCGCGAAAGCCAGGGGAGCGAACAGGAUUAGAUACCCUGGUAGUC